AAGUCGAACGCUCCGCAAGGAGAGUGGCAGACGGGUGAGUAACACGUGGGAAUCUUCCUAUCGGUACGGAAUAGCUCAGGGAAACUUGAGGUAAUACCGCAUACGCCCUUCGGGGGAAAGAUUUAUCGCCGAUAGAUGAGCCCGCGUCUGAUUAGCUAGUUGGUGAGGUAAUGGCUCACCAAGGCGACGAUCCAUAGCUGGUCUGAGAGGACGACCAGCCACACUGGGACUGAGACACGGCCCAGACUCC
This 250-nucleotide ribosomal RNA is filed under the name uncultured Alphaproteobacteria bacterium. Its description in RNAcentral is "partial 16S ribosomal RNA". It matches the Rfam family "Bacterial small subunit ribosomal RNA", at positions 59 to 339 of the family's 1533-position model. The record is from RNAcentral. Lineage: Bacteria; Pseudomonadati; Pseudomonadota; Alphaproteobacteria.